RNAcentral lists this non-coding RNA (30 nucleotides) under Rattus norvegicus (Norway rat). Lineage: Eukaryota; Metazoa; Chordata; Mammalia; Rodentia; Muridae. The record is from RNAcentral.
UGAAGAAAACAACCCAGGUUGCUUUCCUUC